GUUGACCUCGGAUCGGGUAGGGAUACCCGCUGAACUUA
This 38-nucleotide ribosomal RNA is filed under the name Xenoramularia polygonicola. RNAcentral's name for it is "partial 28S ribosomal RNA". Lineage: Eukaryota; Fungi; Ascomycota; Dothideomycetes; Mycosphaerellales; Mycosphaerellaceae. The record is from RNAcentral.